This 72-nucleotide transfer RNA is filed under the name Mystus vittatus (striped dwarf catfish). RNAcentral describes it as "tRNA-Ile". It matches the Rfam family "tRNA". Rfam says of the family: Transfer RNA (tRNA) molecules are approximately 80 nucleotides in length. Their secondary structure includes four short double-helical elements and three loops (D, anti-codon, and T loops). The record is from RNAcentral. Lineage: Eukaryota; Metazoa; Chordata; Actinopteri; Siluriformes; Bagridae.
GGAGCUGUGCCUGAGCGCCGAAGGGCCACUUUGAUAGAGUGAACUACGGGGGCUAAAAUCCCCCCGGCUCCU